UGCCAGCCGCCGCGGUAAUACGGAGGGUGCGAGCGUUAAUCGGAAUCACUGGGCGUAAAGCGUACGUAGGUGGCAAAGUCAGUCAGGCGUGAAAGCCCUCGGCUCAACCGAGGAAUUGCAGGGUGAACCGUGCAUCUUGAGACGAGUAGGGGCUGUCGGAACGCUAGGUGGAGUGGUGAAAUGCGUUGAUAUCUAGCGGAACGCCGAAGGAGAAAUCAGGCAGCUGGGCUUGUUCUGACGCUGAGGUACGAAAGCGUGGGGAGCGAACGGGAUUAGAUA
This 279-nucleotide ribosomal RNA is filed under the name uncultured bacterium. RNAcentral describes it as "partial 16S ribosomal RNA". It matches the Rfam family "Bacterial small subunit ribosomal RNA", at positions 506 to 784 of the family's 1533-position model. The record is from RNAcentral.